GUGACGAGCGGCGGACGGGUGAGUAAUGUCUGGGAAACUGCCUGAUGGAGGGGGAUAACUACUGGAAACGGUAGCUAAUACCGCAUAACGUCGCAAGACCAAAGAGGGGGACCUUCGGGCCUCUUGCCAUCAGAUGUGCCCAGAUGGGAUUAGCUAGUAGGUGGGGUAAUGGCUCACCUAGGCGACGAUCCCUAGCUGGUCUGAGAGGAUGACCAGCCACACUGGAACUGAGACACGGUCCAGACUCCUACGGGAGGCAGCAGUGGGGAAUAUUGCACAAUGGGCGCAAGCCUGAUGCAGCCAUGCCGCGUGUGUGAAGAAGGCCUUCGGGUUGUAAAGCACUUUCAGCGAGGAGGAAGGUGGUGAGCUUAAUACGCUCAUCAAUUGACGUUACUCGCAGAAGAAGCACCGGCUAACUCCGUGCCAGCAGCCGCGGUAAUACGGAGGGUGCAAGCGUUAAUCGGAAUUACUGGGCGUAAAGCGCACGCAGGCGGUUUGUUAAGUCAGAUGUGAAAUCCCC
RNAcentral lists this ribosomal RNA (520 nucleotides) under bacterium N0138. RNAcentral's name for it is "bacterial SSU rRNA". It matches the Rfam family "Bacterial small subunit ribosomal RNA", at positions 88 to 604 of the family's 1533-position model. The record is from RNAcentral.